GAACUGAAGAGUUUGAUCCUGGCUCAGAUUGAACGCUGGCGGCAUGCCUUACACAUGCAAGUCGAACGGUAACGCGGGGCAACCUG
RNAcentral lists this ribosomal RNA (86 nucleotides) under Rubrivivax sp. Its description in RNAcentral is "partial 16S ribosomal RNA". It matches the Rfam family "Bacterial small subunit ribosomal RNA", at positions 1 to 86 of the family's 1533-position model. The record is from RNAcentral. Lineage: Bacteria; Pseudomonadati; Pseudomonadota; Betaproteobacteria; Burkholderiales; Sphaerotilaceae.